CGGGGGGAGCAAGCGUUGUUCGGAUUUACUGGGCGUAAAGGGCGCGUAGGCGGUCAGCACAAGUCAGUUGUGAAAUCUCCGGGCUUAACUCGGAAAGGUCAACUGAUACUGUGCGACUAGAGUGCGGAAGGGGCAACUGGAAUUCUCGGUGUAGCGGUGAGAUGCGUAGAUAUCGAGAGGAACACCUGCGGCGAAGGCGGGUUGCUGGGCCGACACUGACGCUGAUGCGCGAAAGCCAGGGGAGCGAACGGGAUUAGAUACCCCGGUAGUCCUGGCCUUAAACGAUGGAUGCUUGGUGUCUGGAGUUUUAUAGUCUCCGGGUGCCGUAGCUAACGCGUUAAGCAUCCCGCCUGGGGAGUACGGUCGCAAGACUG
Molecule: ribosomal RNA, 374 nt
Filed under: uncultured organism
Description: bacterial SSU rRNA
Rfam family: Bacterial small subunit ribosomal RNA
Source: RNAcentral